AAAGUGGUAACGGAUGGGACAUAGGAGGGUGGUAACAGAUGGGACAUUUGGCAUUUCAAAGCCUUUCGUCUGAUCAACACCCUAAUGACGGCGCUUAAGAGAUUCUAAAAUUGCAUGGUGAAUUCUGCAGAAAAGAAGCGAAAGAAUUUUGAAAUUACUUCAAACCUUUUGUAUUUAAAGUGGUUUAUAAAUGUUUAAGAACUUGAAUGACAGGGAUAUUCUUAACUAUUAUAAUUCGGUCAGAGUCUACUUACAGGAUUCAAGGAACAUCGUACGUAUUAAAUUAAAUACACUAUUCCUAAUAAUUUAAUCUAUUUGCAAAGGGAUUGAAGCCUAUUUAAGAGCACAUCUUAAGUUUACGAAUGCCAUAACUCUGUUAGUGAGCUGAUACAAACUAUCUAGUUUCUUUUUGAACUCAGUGAAGUUGUGAAAUUAUUAUUGUUCGUUGAUCUGACCUUACUUCAUCCAUAUCUUGAUAAUGGCAUCAGUUCCUAAAAAAGAGCAGAUGGCCAAAUCCGCCAAAGAUUAUUAUCUUUUUGCGAAAAAAUGUUGAAAAACGACCGUUUUUUAUGUAACGACUGAAGAUACCUUAGAGAAUUAAAAAUUUCUUGAUGCGAGGAGGAAUAAUGUUUUAAAAGUGUAAGUGACACUCGAAGAAUGCAAGACUGUCUUAGGCUUAAGCGCAUUCCAUCAUUUCAAAAAAUUUGACAAUUAUCGUAUUGUUGUUGGGCAAACUUCGAAGUCUACGCUGCAUGAACUCACAAUUUUCCCUUGCGGACCACCUGAAUUAUAUUUUAAGCACCUAACAACACAUAUACGUUUAAAAUACAGCGAUGUAUACUCCGAAAGUGUUUUUGAAGAUUAAAUAAAAAAGUAGUGUGAUACUAGUAUUAAUUUUAUAGAUAUAGAUGUUGUUAAGAAUGUACGUAGAAUAAACUUUUAACCCUGAGUUUUUGGCAAUAAAAUUUAGUUUUCCAUUGAUUUAAAACUUUGAUAACUUAUUUAAAUCCUACUCCUUUCAAUUCUGAUCGUACUUCCUGAUCGUACAUGUCCCAUCCGUUACCUUGCUGUGUCCCAUCCGUUACCCAAAAGAAGAAUUUUAUCCAAAAUUCUAAUUCACAUAUUUUCGAACUGGACAUAUAUAAAAAGAAAACUUCAACAGACAAAUCCAUUACAAAAAAAAUUGGUGUUAUAACCAUUCUCAAUUCGCAAAGUUCUGAUUGAAAGGAAAAGUAAGUCCGGAAGUGAGUCCCAUACGAGUCCCAUCCGUUACCCUCGUUUUCGUUUUAUAACAUAAAAAUUAUCCAAUUCAAUAGAAUUUUGGAAUCUGAAAACUAACAAGUUCAUGCAUCUUUGUAUAGAUAGCGUAGCUUAAACAAGAUACAGUUAUUUUAAAUAAGGAUUUUUCCAGUUUUUAUGCGUGCAAAUGUCUUAUCCGUUACUUUGGAAUGGCCGAAUUAUAUGUAUAUGUUUUAUUAGGCUGCCAUUCAUUGUAUUCUAUAUUUUGAAUAGUAAAAAUCACACACAGAUAAGUUGUACUUUGUAAAAAAUUGUUCCGAAUUAUUGUGAAAAAUUUUUUAGUUCGCUCAUGAAAAUAUAGAGACUCCAUCAGUCGAAAAAAAUAACGAAAGACAAGAAUUAAAUAGAAAUUCCGUAAACGAUGACACAAACGCAUACAGAAAGUACACCAAACGCACACAGACGUAACCGACCUAUACACAUAAAUAUAGUUGAUUUACUAUCUACCAAAAUUGAAAAUAUGUUAGGAAGUUGGAGAAUGGAAGACGAAAAUGUCACGAAUCUAGAAAAUAGCGAUCUUAAAACGAAUAGGAUAGAAAGAGAAAUAGAAAGUAAAAGAAAAGAACUAGAAAAUUUAGAAAGAGAAAAAGAACGAAUAGAAUCAAGUUGGUUAGAACGCGGAGAAACUCUGAGAAAAGAGAAAGAAAGAAUAUACAGAAAAAGAGCAGAAACAGAAAGAAUAGGUAGCGAAAAAUUGCGAAUAGAAAUGAAAUGAGGCACAAGAAUUAAUAAA
Long non-coding RNA from Belonocnema kinseyi, 2032 nucleotides. RefSeq lists it as uncharacterized. The record is from RefSeq and is a predicted model, not a curated record. The transcript is spliced from 2 exons. NCBI's taxonomy places the organism in Eukaryota, Metazoa, Arthropoda, Insecta, Hymenoptera, Cynipidae.